This 343-nucleotide ribosomal RNA is filed under the name uncultured bacterium. RNAcentral's name for it is "bacterial SSU rRNA". It matches the Rfam family "Bacterial small subunit ribosomal RNA", at positions 102 to 477 of the family's 1533-position model. The record is from RNAcentral.
ACGGGUGAGUAACGCGUAAGAACCUGCCCUUGGGAGGGGAACAACAGCUGGAAACGGCUGCUAAUACCCCAUAGGCUGAGGAGCAAAAGGAGGAAUCCGCCCAAGGAGGGGCUCGCGUCUGAUUAGUUAGUUGGUGAGGCAAUGGCUUACCAAGGCGACGAUCAGUAGCUGGUCCGAGAGGAUGAUCAGCCACACAGGGACUGAGACACGGCCCAGACUCCUACGGGAGGCAGCAGUGGGGAAUUUUCCGCAAUGGGCGAAAGCCUGACGGAGCAAUGCCGCGUGAAGGCAGAAGGCCCACGGGUCAUGAACUUCUUUUCUCGGAGAAGAAAAAAUGACGGUA